Molecule: long non-coding RNA, 315 nt
Filed under: Glycine max (soybean)
Lineage: Eukaryota; Viridiplantae; Streptophyta; Magnoliopsida; Fabales; Fabaceae
Description: long non-coding RNA (GMAX_LNC000819)
Source: RNAcentral
GCCAAACAAUUUUAAGACAACCAAUUAACUUGACAAGGAGUGCAUACAGUACAGGAAAACAAGAAUCCUAUGUGUAGCUAUAUAAACCAUGAGACAAAUAAUAAGAGUGUGUAAACAAAUCGGAUUCAAAAUACCAAUUGGUAGAUUUGUAGCAAGUAAAAAACAAGAAUUGGAAUAAUAAGAGAACUAAACUUGGAUUAUGAAUUAUGAAAAGAAAGAGGAACUUACAAGAAUAAUAAUGAGAUUGAAAGGAAAAAAGAAAUAAGAGAAGGGUAGUUUGUGUAGGCAAUAUAGAGUUCCUGGGAAGAAGAAGAA